This 477-nucleotide ribosomal RNA is filed under the name uncultured bacterium. RNAcentral describes it as "partial 16S ribosomal RNA". It matches the Rfam family "Bacterial small subunit ribosomal RNA", at positions 28 to 507 of the family's 1533-position model. The record is from RNAcentral.
GAUUAACGCUGGCGGCGUGCAUAACACAUGCAAGUCGAACGAUGAAACUUAAAUGUUUUCUUCGGAAUGAACUUAAGUGAAUUAGUGGCGGACGGGUGGGUAACGCGUGAGUCACCUGCCUUACACAAGGAGAUAGCCGUUGGACACGACGAAUAAUACCCUAUGAAACUAUCACUUCGCAUGAAGCGAUAGUCAAAGUGUAAGCGGUGUAAGAUGGACUUGCGUCUGAUUAGCUAGUUGGUGAGAAAAAAGCCCACCAAGGCAACGAUCAGUAGCGGGCUUGAGAGAGGGUCCGGACACCUUGGGAAUGAGGCACGGCCCAGACUCCGACGGGAGGCAGCAGUGGGGAAUUUUGCACAAGGGGGGAAGACGUGAGGCAGCGAAGCCGAGUGAUUUAGAAGGCCUUAGGGUUGUAAAAGUCUUUUGUAUAGGAACAAAAUGACAGUACUAUACGAAUAAGGGCCGGCUAAUUACGUG